RNAcentral lists this long non-coding RNA (7205 nucleotides) under Solanum tuberosum (potato). RNAcentral describes it as "long non-coding RNA (STUB_LNC010438)". Lineage: Eukaryota; Viridiplantae; Streptophyta; Magnoliopsida; Solanales; Solanaceae. The record is from RNAcentral.
AUAUAUAAGAGAAGUGGCAUGGUUGACCUCUGAAAACUUCAGCUCAUCUAGAGUAGGAAUGGUAUCAUCAUCCUCUCUUUGGUUGUCUGGUCGUUUUUUCGACAAUUUUUCCUCGAGGGAUGUGACUUGCUUCAAGCAGUUCUCUUUCUCGAAUUGAAGGGAUUUUAUUUGCCACAGAAGUUGGCUAUUUGCUCUUCUAAGCUGGCAAAGCUCAUUUUUCAGCUCGGAAACUUUGGUACACAUUACUUCUUUUGCAGUUAAGUCUCCUUCCAGCCUCAGAACUUUCUCCUCUAGUGCAAUUGUCUUGUAUUUGCAUUUUUCUGCUUCCGCCACUUCCUUCUGCAUGCAGGUGAUUUCCUGAAGUAAUGAUGCCUUCUCUUCCUUCAACUCUUCACAAUCUCCAUAUUUCAACAACAGUGUAACUUGUGUUCUCUCACUUUCAAACUUCAUCCCAGAUAGUGCUUCUUUAAGAUACAAAACUUCCUCCUGAAGUAAUGGUAAUGUAUGCAGUUGAAUCUUUAGGCUAGAAUUCUCUUCAGUCAUUUGCAGCAUUUGACAUUCAGAAGACAGUAGUUUUGACUCAAGCUCAUUAAUGGUGCAUUUAAGCUUUGCUUCACUGGAUACAAGAUGUUCCAUCAUCCUCAGUAGCUUAUCACAAUUAGCUGCCAAAGUUCCCUCCUUGGCUUUGGAAGUACCAAGUUCACUCAUAAGAUCUGACAUCUCUACCAUCAGGGAUUGUACCUGUUCUUGCAACUUUUCGACUUCAACUGUGUUCUCCGGAGACAUUUCACGCAGAGUGCACCCUUCUACAAGAAAUUUUUCUCCAUGCUCUUUAGUCUGUAGGUGGAGAUCGUCAAGUUUGAACUUAAGGAUCUUCUCUUUUGAUUCAAUCUCUUCCAUCACUGAAGAAAAGUUAGCUUCUAAAGACUCUAUCCUUUUCAAACAGGUGGAGAAAGAAUGCUGAGAUUUCCUCAAUUCUGCUUCCAAAACAUUAUGGCUCACAUGUAAUUUUAAUUUUUGUUGCCUUAGUUCUGCAUUCAAGUUUUGAAGCAAACAACACUCUUCCAUAAGACUUUCUGUUGUUGCUUGGAGCUUUGGAUUUACUUUCUUCAGAUACUCGCACUCUUCUUGAGCAUCUAACCAUCGCUUUUGCAUCUCCAUCAACUGUUCUUUCAUAUCGAGCUUUUGUGACUCCUUUUGAUGUUCUAAUUUUCUAAUCUUGCUCUCAAGGCUCACAACACGAUUACCAGAAUGCUGCAGUUCCAAACGAUUGAAUUCCAUUGCAUCAGUCAAAUGCCUUAGUUGAGCUUCCAAUCCUGAUACUCGUUCUGACAGAUCUACAUUUUCUUUUUCUAAUUCAUGCAAAUUAAGUUCUAACUCAUACUUAUCACUCUCUAGCUCUAAUGAUUUCAUUUCGUACGUCAUUUUAGAGACUCCUCCACAAAUACAUUGAUCAAGAAACAUCAAACCAUUUGCGGAAGUGUCUAAAGAAUUGGAGGUGGCACUAAGUUCUUGUUGCAUGUUUUCUAUUCUCUCCUCCAUCAGACAUUUACUCAUCUGGAGAUCAGAGAUUUGAGUACUCAAAUCAGUCUGCUGAUGCCUUAGCGCUUCGAUCUUUACAUCCUUUUUCAAACAUUUUGUCUUCAGCUCCAGUAUCUCCGAGUUCUUAGCUAAACUAUCACUACUUAAAUUUUGAAUCUUGCCCUCUAGCACCUUAUUUAAAUCCUCAAGCCUUUCACAGCAAGAACAAGGAGUAUUUUCCUUUGGAAGGUCAUCCUUUUCCUCAUCUUGAACUUCACAUGCAUCCUUUAAUGUUGUUUUGGGUUCAUCCUCGAUAUGUUGACUACCAUCAAGAUAUAGAGCCAACCUGUACCUCAAUAACUGGAAAUUUUUCAACACUGCAUUAGCUUGCUCGUCCUUAGCGGGAUGACCUGUACAUUCACAAAAAUCUAAAUUACAUAUAGCAUUUUAAAACUCAGUGUUUAUAAGUGAAAGGAGGACAUUUUGUCUUGUACCCUGUUGCACAAGAAACAUGCUAGAUACUUACAUAAUGUGUUGAGUAGGGUAUAGAUAUCUUCAAUAUGUCCUGACUCGGAACUCUGAAAUAUUAUGGGUACAUUUUUAUGAGUGAAACGAUCUUGACAAUCUCCUUCCUGCUGACAUUCAGAUGGCAUUGCAGCAACCUCAGUUCUCUGAUCUUGUUCUUGUACUUCAACGCAACAUGAGUUGAUUUCAGCAUUUGGCCUCAAAGCAUUGUCCCUAACUAGUGAGUGAAACUCCAGAGCUAAGUUUUCUUCCUGAUCACAGGUUUUCUGCUUACUUUCAGAACCCUUUGAUUUCAGUUUGUACAGAAGUUCCAGGUUUUCUUCGGUCAGCUCCUUGCAAUCUCUCUCAAGUUCCUGGAGUCUUUCCUUGAGAGUCUCAUUUUCCUUGAUCAGAUCACAGUCAGCUUCAGCUUUGAUCUCACUUGUCUUGGAGUCCUCGGCACUUAAAAGUCUGGAUAACUCUGCCUUCAAAUAAGUAAUUUCCUCUUCUUGUUCUCUUGACCUAUUUUUCCAUUUUUCUUCACAAUCUAUAAGAGCCUGAGUCCUGUGAUCUCGUUCAAGUUCAAUCUCAUGAGUUUUCUCCCUGAUGAUUUUCUCCAGAUGGAGAGUGGUGUUUUCCAGAUUUUUCUGUGAUUCUUGCAACUGUUGAAGCUUGUCCUCUAGGUUCUGUUGGUUCUCAGAAUUCGACUUUACUUCUAAAAGGUUCUUAAUCUCCAAUUUCUGCUUUUCAACAGUUUCUUCCAUCUCCUGCAGAAUAGAGACUAGUUGAAUAUUUGAUUCUUGAGUUUUACUUAGCUGGAAAGACAUAUCGUCAUUUGAUUCUUUUUGAAUCCUAAGUUCCUCUUUUAAAAUCUUUUCAACACUAUCCUUAUCUCUGACUCGGAGCAUUAAACUCUCAGUUGAUUUUUCCUUUUCCAUGGAUUCUUGUAAAAGGAUCUCAAGGUGUCUGAUUUCUUGCAUCGAUCCAUCACGUUCUGUACCCAAUGAACAAAGCUCCAUCUUAAGGUUUUCUAUCUGCUGUGACUGGUCAGCAAACUCCUUCCUUGACAUUUCCAAGUCAGUCUUUAAGCUUUGAGCAUUUUGUUCCCACAUCAUGGCCUCUGCAAUUAGUUCUUUACUGAUAGUAUCUUUGGCUUGUAAGGAGUUUCUAGAGGAAGCAGAAAGUUGCACUGAUGCGGUGUUAUCAUGUGAGAACUGUUUGAAAUCAUCUUUUUGAUUUUGAGCAUUCUUUCCUGAUCCUGAGAUCAUUAAAUUAUAGGGAGAGUUGUACGAUUUGGGUGAUUCACAAAAAGAGUAAGAACCACAGGAUGCACUACUCCUGGAAUCAAUUGAUUCUUGUCUACCAAUUAUGAGGUUACCAUGCCUAUUUGAGUCACUUUGGGAUGAAAAGCUUUCUCUGCCCAAUGAAUCCUCUGUAGAGGCAAAGCUAUGAUAUGAACUCAGCCGUGGGAGGCUUCUUUCCUGUUGGGAAAGCAUAAUCUAGCUUAAAUUCUAGAGGAAGCUAGAGAAGAUAAAGUAACAAAAUAAAUGCACCAUUGAUACUAGUAAAAUAAGAUCUCUAAGAGAAGACAUGCGUUGAUAAUAAUGAGAAAUAUACUUCAACUUCCGAUAUUUGAGCGUAUAUAUGCAUCCGGUGAUUUCAGUUAUUCAAGUUGUUUGGUCUAUAUCUAUGAUUUUAUAGUUACUUGGCUUUCUUGUAAUGUCCCUUAAUUUUAAAAAUUUGCAGUUUGUAUGUCUGUCUGUGUCCAUGUCCCACGCCAUGUCUAAACUACUAAAGCUGCAUUCAAGAAUGAGAUCCAGGCAAUAUUGCAGCCACUUUCCAGCCUUUUAAAUAUAAUAAUUAUGGACCUUUUUAUCUGGAUGGUUCUAGAUUGACUACCGACUGAAAGCGUUAGAUCAAAACUCAAACUUGGCCAACACUGAAGAUGAAGACAGGACAUAUAAAUCUAUAAUUCUAUUAAUCAUUUUCCAUUUAAAGCCUAGUAUUCUAUUAUUUGCAUUUUAAUUGUGAACUAAAAAGCGAAAAUGGAUAUCCAAACUUUAAGUACAGUACUAGUUCUAAUUGGGUGAAUAAUCAAAUAUUUGGAUAAUAGUUCAAAAACAAGAUUUUUCUCAUAUAAUAUCCUAAUGAAUAUCAACAGAUGCAUAAACCUUUCUGACUAGAUAGUUAGAUACCUCUGAUUUCAUUUCCAUGUUAUUGUAUUCCAUGUUCUCUUCUUCAGCAUAGAAGGGCAUGUCUUUGGAUUCAUUAUCCCUACGAUUUCAAAUUGAUUCUUUUUACUAUGGAUAGAGAAAAAAAAAAGAAGAAACAGAAAUGUUGAAAACUAAGGAAGAAGUUGUUGUGUUCUAGAGACAAACCUGAUUGAUGUCAAACACUUGAUCUCCAGCUGCAGAAACAUAAGAAAUUGAAUCAGUAAUAGUAGGUAAGUAAAAAAGCUGAGAUUAUUAUGUACUCAGGUGUGCUUUAGGUAACAUGUUCCUGAAUGAAAUAUAGGCCAAGAACCUAAGGGAGUUGGCUGAAAAUCUUCAACAAGGACCUCAGGCAUUCAGGAUGGGAUCAACAUUAAGAUGCUCCAAAUUAUGAGUAAUUUAUUGCAUUUGAGAUGAAAGAAGUUAAAGCUGGAAAUUUUUUAUUCAAGUAAAUCAAAUUUGUUCAAUUCUAUUGCUUUCUUUAAUCUUCACAUAUUUAAUAUGAAAUCCCUAAUUCUAAAAACAUAUUCAGUUUCACAUUAAAAAGUAAGUAAAAAUAGCAUACAAGCAUGCAAAGUUAUGUGGCUCUCAAAUUCUUAUGAGCAAAGUAAGAUGACAAAACAAGUAUUCUUUCAGUAUAUAACUUGUAGAAUUACAUGGAUACUAUUGAACGGAAAACAAAUUAAAUUCUAUUACUGAGAAGCAAACCUAAAACUUGAGAAUUAUUGAGCACAAAUGAAAAGAAAAUCUUUCUAAAGGGGAUUACUAAGAUCUGAGAAGCUAGUUGAUACACAGAGUUCGUCAUCUAAGCUCAUAUUAAUAGCAGUGAUUGAUUCAUUCGUUAAAAAAUUAGGUUAUUUGUUCCAGGUAAAGCAACAGAAAAGAACAAAAAAGAAGUUUCUUUGCACUUGAGUAACGGAAGAUGAACUUGUUUAUUGCAAAAGAAGCAUAGAAUCUUGGAGAAAUAUGAUAUGGUGGGUCUACAAAGAGUAAUUCCUGAACAUGUUGAAUUAAAAUGAAGGAAAGAAAUGGUAAUCAUAGGAUAUACUAGAUAAUGUUUUGCAUUUUAAAGUGCAAACAUCAAACUUGAAAGUAUUAGAAGAGGUCUCACUUGUAGAACUGUGCCAUGGUUACAUUUUUUCAAAGGUAAGGAAACUGGAGUAAAAGCUUUUGCAUCCCUGAAGCGAGCAAGAUUUACAGAAGCCUCUCCGAGAAUGCUAGAUCUUGCAGAUCCCUGAAACAGAAAACUGAUAACGUUAUAAACAUGAAAACUAAGAGCCAAGUAUAGCAAAUUCAGUAAGCUUAAAGCUUAUUGAACCGAUAACUUCAACCGAUAGAAAUAUAGGAAGGUGUCUGACCAUUGUUACAAUAAACUUAAGAGGGAAUUGCUCUUGGUUGUUUGAAAUAUCAUCUGGGGUAAUCCACAUGGACUGUGACCAUGUUUCUGUCCAUUUGCAAUUACCAUUUCGUACUGAGGCUUUCCCUGAUUUGCUGACUGUUUUCCCUGUUUCCACAGAGAUAAGAGAGAGGGAAAGUUUGUCCCAUCCUUUAGGUACCUGAGGGAAGUAAACCCAUAGAAAGUCUCAUAAACUGAAAUUGGACGUAAAGUUUCAGUCAAGAUGAUGAUAGCGAGGCCAUUGAGACGUCAAUGUUAGAUGAUUAGUCUUUGAAUUCUAUCUAACAAGUAAAAGAAAUAUAGACAUCGUUAAAAAUGUUCCAUAGAUAUAAGCAGUUUGAGAAAAGGAUUUUGUAGCUAGUCAUUAUCUUAAGAGUAUCUGUUCAGUCACAAAUACUGAAAGCAGGGUAAGAAAUUCACCAUGUUAAACAUUACAAAUUUACAAGAACAACGAUUGGAUCUUUUGAAACAUUUAAUGAGGUAACAACAACAUAUCCAGCGUAAUCCUACAAGUGGGAUGUGGGGAGGGAAGAGUGUACACAGUCCUUACCUCCGAGGUAGACAGGCUGUUUCCGACAGAACCUCAGCAAGAAAUGAGGCAAGAAGUGAAAAUCCAAGGGAAAAUAGAGUCUAUAGCAGUUAAUAAGCGAAUAUGUAAAGACGAGACAAGACGGUGUAUAUGGUACUAAUUUGACCUAAAUUUUUUAAGGCUGUUUCCUUUAUGAGUUAUUCAUUUCCUACAUUGUCCAACAUUAUUAUAUCCCUGAAAUAUUUAUGUGUUAUUUAAAUAUAUUUCCUUGUGUACUGUCAAUUAAAGCUAUUAUGAUCUAUUUUUCUGUUUUGCACUUUUGAAUUCAGGUACUAACCCUUCCGUGCACCUCCGUAUGUGUCAUUUAUUCAUACCAUUGUACAUAUGGCUUAUACUGCAACGUGGUUCCUAGUUCAAUCGUUUAUUACUAAUAAUACCAGAGUAACAGACUGGUUACAUCAAUUCUGGAGCAUUUGCCAUUCCAUUGUUUCCAAGAAAAUAUGUUUUUCUGGUGUUUCUUUCUCUGUCUCCUGCCAACUAUGAAGAGAACCGUAAUCCUUUUUUCAUGUAAUUUAGGAGAAAAAAUGCCUCAGAUGUCUGCAUGGCAGCUAAUGGCUUUUAACAAAUUUCAUUUUCACAUUUACCGCGACUAAGGAAAAAAAGAAACUAAUGGACAACGGACAACCAGGUUCACAGCCCAUGCAUACAUGAUACAUCACACAACUGCCACUCAGAACCUCUGUUAGUGCUUACUCAUCUUCCAGAAUCAACUGCUGAACAAAAGCAAUUGAAUGUUUCAUUAGUAGAUUGACCUACUUCGAUUAGUUCAGCCACCUGGUUGUAUGCAGCUAAUAGUUUGCUGAUUGUUGUUUUGAAAUUAGAUUUGUCAUAUUCAGAAGUUUGCUUAACAUCUCACUCUAGUCCAACUAUAGUCUUGCAGUUAUUUUGAUCAUUUCUAUUGCAUAAGUAGGCACGGAUAACUAUAACUUACACUCAUCUCCCUAUUUCCCAUGUUAAAUACCACAACAUUCAGUGUCAGACCCAC